UACGGAGGGGGUUAGCGUUGUUCGGAAUUACUGGGCGUAAAGCGUACGUAGGCGGAUCAGAAAGUAUGGGGUGAAAUCCCAGGGCUCAACCCUGGAACUGCCUCAUAAACUCCUGGUCUUGAGUUCGAGAGAGGUGAGUGGAAUUCCGAGUGUAGAGGUGAAAUUCGUAGAUAUUCGGAGGAACACCAGUGGCGAAGGCGGCUCACUGGCUCGAUACUGACGCUGAGGUACGAAAGUGUGGGGAGCAAACAGG
This 253-nucleotide ribosomal RNA is filed under the name uncultured bacterium. RNAcentral describes it as "partial 16S ribosomal RNA". It matches the Rfam family "Bacterial small subunit ribosomal RNA", at positions 524 to 776 of the family's 1533-position model. The record is from RNAcentral.